GGGUCAGGCCACCGAGUCGGCGGCGAUCAGCAGCCAGCUCAAUGCGCUGGCCAGUCAGCAGAUGAAGUUGAUGGAUCAGUUCAGGGUCUGACUCGGUUCU
This 100-nucleotide transfer RNA is filed under the name Pseudomonas fluorescens. RNAcentral's name for it is "tRNA-Ile". Lineage: Bacteria; Pseudomonadati; Pseudomonadota; Gammaproteobacteria; Pseudomonadales; Pseudomonadaceae. The record is from RNAcentral.